RNAcentral lists this ribosomal RNA (803 nucleotides) under uncultured bacterium. RNAcentral's name for it is "bacterial SSU rRNA". It matches the Rfam family "Bacterial small subunit ribosomal RNA", at positions 1 to 799 of the family's 1533-position model. The record is from RNAcentral.
UAGAGUUUGAUCCUGGCUCAGGAUGAACGCUAGCUACAGGCUUAACACAUGCAAGUCGCGGGGCAGCAUGAAUUCAGCUUGCUGAGUUUGAUGGCGACCGGCGCACGGGUGAGUAACGCGUAUCCAACCUUCCCCUGUCCACGGGAUAGCCCGUCGAAAGGCGGAUUAAUACCGUAUGAGGUCACAUGCGGGCAUCUAAAUGUGACGAAAGGUUUUGCGGACAGAGAUGGGGAUGCGUCCGAUUAGGUAGUCGGCGGGGUAACGGCCCACCGAGCCGACGAUCGGUAGGGGUUCUGAGAGGAAGGUCCCCCACAUUGGAACUGAGACACGGUCCAAACUCCUACGGGAGGCAGCAGUGAGGAAUAUUGGUCAAUGGGCGAGAGCCUGAACCAGCCAAGUAGCGUGCAGGAUGACGGCCCUAUGGGUUGUAAACUGCUUUUAUGCGGGGAUAAAGUGAGGGAUGCGUCCCUUUUUGCAGGUACCGCAUGAAUAAGGACCGGCUAAUUCCGUGCCAGCAGCCGCGGUAAUACGGAAGGUCCGGGCGUUAUCCGGAUUUAUUGGGUUUAAAGGGAGCGUAGGCCGGCUUUUAAGCGUGUUGUGAAAUGCCGCGGCUCAACCGUGGCACUGCAGCGCGAACUGGAGGCCUUGAGUGCGCAGGAGGUAGGCGGAAUUCGUGGUGUAGCGGUGAAAUGCUUAGAUAUCACGAAGAACUCCGAUUGCGAAGGCAGCUUACCGUAGCGUUACUGACGCUGAAGCUCGAAAGUGCGGGUAUCGAACAGGAUUAGACACCCUGGUAGUCCGCA